GUCGAGCGAAUUGCUAGCAAUAGCAAUUAGCGGCGAACGGGUGAGUAAUACAUACUUAACAUGCCUCUGCGAGGGAAAUAGCUACCCGAAAGGGUAAUUAAUGUCCCAUAGGAGCCUUUCUCACAAGAGAGAGGUUUUAAAGGAGCAAUCCGCGCUGAGAUUGGAGUAUGUUCCAUUAGCUAGUUGGCGGGGUAAUAGCCCACCAAGGCAAUGAUGGAUAGCUGGUCUAAGAGGAUGAACAGCCACAAUGGGAUUGAGAUACGGCCCAUAUUCCUACGGGAAGCAGCAGUAGGGAAUCUUCCACAAUGGGCGAAAGCCUGAUGGAGCGAUGCCAUGUGAAUGAUGAAGGUCUUUUUGAUUGUAAAGUUCUUUUAUUGGGGAAAAUGAUGAUGGUACCCGAUGAAUAAGUGACAGCAAACUAUGUGCCAGCAGCUGCGGUAAUACAUAGGUCGCAAGCGUUAUUCGGAUUUAUUGGGCGUAAAGCAAGCGCAGGCGGACGAGUAAGUUCUGUGUUAAAAGCAGCAGCUCAACUGUUGUUUGCGCCGAAUACUGCUCGUCUAGAAUACGGUAGAAAGUUUCGGAAUUGAAUAUGGAGCGGUGGAAUGUGUAGAUAUAUUCAAGAACACCAGAGGCGAAGGCGGAAACUUAGGCCGCUAUUGACGCUUAGGCUUGAAAGUGUGGGGAGCAAAUGGGAUUAGAUACCCCAGUAGUCCACACCGUAAACGAUGGAUAUUAGAUGUUGGGACUUGAGUCUCAGCGUUGUAGCUCACGUGUUAAAUAUCCCGCCUGAGUAGUACAUAUGCAAAUAUGAAACUCAAAGGAAUUGACGGGGACCU
RNAcentral lists this ribosomal RNA (836 nucleotides) under uncultured Mycoplasma sp. Its description in RNAcentral is "bacterial SSU rRNA". It matches the Rfam family "Bacterial small subunit ribosomal RNA", at positions 61 to 922 of the family's 1533-position model. The record is from RNAcentral. Lineage: Bacteria; Bacillati; Mycoplasmatota; Mollicutes; Mycoplasmatales; Mycoplasmataceae.